Molecule: ribosomal RNA, 444 nt
Filed under: Centipeda periodontii
Lineage: Bacteria; Bacillati; Bacillota; Negativicutes; Selenomonadales; Selenomonadaceae
Description: bacterial SSU rRNA
Rfam family: Bacterial small subunit ribosomal RNA
Source: RNAcentral
GACGAACGCUGGCGGCGUGCUUAACACAUGCAAGUCGAACGGGAUGAUCUUAAAGCUUGCUUUUAGAGAAUCUAGUGGCAAACGGGUGAGUAACACGUAGACAACCUGCCGACAGGAUGGGGACAACAUUCCGAAAGGAAUGCUAAUACCGAAUGAAGUCAGAGAAGGGCAUCCUUUUCUGAUGAAAGAUGGCCUCUGAAUAUGCUAUCACCUGUCGAUGGGUCUGCGUCUGAUUAGCUGGUUGGUGAGGUAACGGCUCACCAAGGCGACGAUCAGUAGCCGGUCUGAGAGGAUGAACGGCCACAUUGGGACUGAGACACGGCCCAGACUCCUACGGGAGGCAGCAGUGGGGAAUCUUCCGCAAUGGGCGCAAGCCUGACGGAGCAAACGCCGCGUGGAGUGAAAGAAAGGUCUUCGGGAUCGUAAAGGCUCUGUUGAAUGGGG